AGUUUGAUCCUGGCUCAGAACGAACGCUGGCGGCGUGGAUAAGACAUGCAAGUCGAACGAGAGAAUUGCUAGCUUGCUAAUAAUUCUCUAGUGGCGCACGGGUGAGUAACACGUGAGUAACCUGCCCCCGAGAGCGGGAUAGCCCUGGGAAACUGGGAUUAAUACCGCAUAGUAUCGAAAGAUUAAAGCAGCAAUGCGCUUGGGGAUGGGCUCGCGGCCUAUUAGUUAGUUGGUGAGGUAACGGCUCACCAAGGCGAUGACGGGUAGCCGGUCUGAGAGGAUGUCCGGCCACACUGGAACUGAGACACGGUCCAGACACCUACGGGUGGCAGCAGUCGAGAAUCAUUCACAAUGGGGGAAACCCUGAUGGUGCGACGCCGCGUGGGGGAAUGAAGGUCUUCGGAUUGUAAACCCCUGUCAUGUGGGAGCAAAUUAAAAAGAUAGUACCACAAGAGGAAGGGACGGCUAACUCUGUGCCAGCAGCCGCGGUAAUACAGAGGUCUCAAGCGUUGUUCGGAAUCACUGGGCGUAAAGCGUGCGUAGGCUGUUUCGUAAGUCGUGUGUGAAAGGCGCGGGCUCAACCCGCGGACGGCACAUGAUACUGCGAGACUAGAGUAAUGGAGGGGGAACCGGAAUUCUCGGUGUAGCAGUGAAAUGCGUAGAUAUCGAGAGGAACACUCGUGGCGAAGGCGGGUUCCUGGACAUUAACUGACGCUGAGGCACGAAGGCCAGGGGAGCGAAAGGGAUUAGAUACCCCUGUAGUCCUGGCAGUAAACGGUGCACGCUUGGUGUGCGGGGAAUCGACCCCCUGCGUGCCGGAGCUAACGCGUUAAGCGUGCCGCCUGGGGAGUACGGUCGCAAGAUUAAAACUCAAAGAAAUUGACGGGGACCCGCACAAGCGGUGGAGUAUGUGGCUUAAUUCGAUGCAACGCGAAGAACCUUACCUGGGCUUGACAUGUAAUGAACAACAUGUGAAAGCAUGCGACUCUUCGGAGGCGUUACACAGGUGCUGCAUGGCCGUCGUCAGCUCGUGUCGUGAGAUGUUUGGUUAAGUCCAGCAACGAGCGCAACCCCUGUUGCCAGUUACCAGCACGUGAAGGUGGGGACUCUGGCGAGACUGCUCAGAUCAACUGGGAGGAAGGUGGGGACGACGUCAGGUCAGUAUGGCCCUUAUGCCCAGGGCUGCACACGUACUACAAUGCCCAGUACAGAGGGGGCCGAAGCCGCGAGGCGGAGGAAAUCCUAAAAACUGGGCCCAGUUCGGACUGUAGGCUGCAACCCGCCUACACGAAGCCGGAAUCGCUAGUAAUGGCGCAUCAGCUACGGCGCCGUGAAUACGUUCCCGGGUCUUGCACUCACCGCCCGUCA
This 1368-nucleotide ribosomal RNA is filed under the name uncultured bacterium. RNAcentral describes it as "bacterial SSU rRNA". It matches the Rfam family "Bacterial small subunit ribosomal RNA". The record is from RNAcentral.